This 120-nucleotide small nucleolar RNA is filed under the name Echinops telfairi (small Madagascar hedgehog). Its description in RNAcentral is "Small nucleolar RNA SNORA61 (ENSETEG00000025198.1)". Lineage: Eukaryota; Metazoa; Chordata; Mammalia; Afrosoricida; Tenrecidae. The record is from RNAcentral.
ACCCUUCAGAGUCCUUACCCCUUGGAACUAAAUAUUGCUCUGAGUGGCUAAAAUAAAAGUAAAGUAAAACUGAAGUGGCCUUGGAGUGUUUAGGGACAUACCAGUUCAUUUCAAACACAA